Molecule: ribosomal RNA, 519 nt
Filed under: uncultured eukaryote
Lineage: Eukaryota
Description: SSU rRNA
Rfam family: Eukaryotic small subunit ribosomal RNA
Source: RNAcentral
AGGGCACCACCAGGAGUGGAGCCUGCGGCUUAAUUUGACCCUACACGGGAAAACUCACCCGGCCCGGACACCGUAAGGAUUGACAGAUUGAGAGCUCUUUCUUGAUUCGGUGGGUGGUGGUGCAUGGCCGUUCUUAGUUGGUGGAGCGAUUUGUCUGGUUAAUUCCGAUAACGAACGAGACUCUAGCCUGCUAAAUAGGCAGCGGAUUCUUAGUCCGCUGUACUCCUUAGAGGGACAAGCAGCGUCUAGCUGCACGAGAUUGAGCAAUAACAGGUCUGUGAUGCCCUUAGAUGUUCGGGGCUGCACGCGCGCUACACUGAAGGAAUCAACAUGCUUCUCAACCUUGCCCGGAAGGGCUAGGUAACCCGUUGAAACUCCUUCGUGAUUGGGAUAGGGAAUUGCAAUUAUUUCCCUUGAACGAGGAAUUCCCAGUAAGUGCGGGUCAUCAGCUCGCGCUGAUUACGUCCCUGCCCUUUGUACACACCGCCCGUCGCUACUACCGAUUGGAAGUAGACGAGA